This 271-nucleotide unclassified non-coding RNA is filed under the name fungal sp. RNAcentral's name for it is "partial internal transcribed spacer region". The stretch from base 1 to 45 matches the Rfam family "Eukaryotic small subunit ribosomal RNA", at positions 1787 to 1831 of the family's 1831-position model. The record is from RNAcentral. Lineage: Eukaryota; Fungi.
AGUCAUAACAAGGUUUCUGUAGGUGAACCUGCAGAAGGAUCAUUAGUGAAUUUGCAAUAGGGCUUCGAAGUUCGCUUCGGCCCGACCCCUCUUCACCACUCAUCCUAAACACCUGUGCAUGCGGUCGAAACUUUCCACUGUCGCCUAGCGACUCUGGAUAUAACCGAACUUUUUUACUUUAAACACAUGUCAUAUGGAAGUAAACUUUACUACGAUCUUAACUGAUCUAAACAUAAAAUAAAACUUUCGACAACGGAUCUCUUGGUUCUCC